Molecule: long non-coding RNA, 945 nt
Organism: Mastomys coucha (southern multimammate mouse)
Lineage: Eukaryota; Metazoa; Chordata; Mammalia; Rodentia; Muridae
Exons: 4
Source: RefSeq, a predicted model, not a curated record
UGAAGCCAAAGUCAGGGGCAGUGCCUGCCCUUCCCACAUAGCUGGCUGGGGCCAACCUGGGCUCAUUUUUAUCUCAGGAUGUGUAGGCUGCAGGACAGAGAGUCCUACACAUGGCAGCUCCCCUGGAACGGAACUUCCCACGUGUUCUUAUCCUGUUUUCUGUGUCAACUCUGGGUUUACAGUGUCAGGCUUUGUCGGCAUGUGUUUGGUUUCCUAGCAGUGGCUCUGAAACCCUGUGACAACCCGAAGUCUGAGAUGGGUGCUCGUGCAAGAGAUCUCUGUACCGAGAUGAAUACUUCUUCAGGCUCUCCGUCAAAUCACCCCUGUUUUUGCUGGCUCUUUCGGAGAGCGGCUCUCACACAUUUCUACAAAGUCUUGAAAUACUUGUACAUUUCUAACUCUGUAACAAAGCGUCUAUGGAUCUCUUCCCGGAACCACACCAGGAAGGCACAAUGGAAGCAGGAACAAAGGACUCCAGCCUUAUCUCUAUUAGUCUAGUCCUGAGCAGCUUCCCUCCCACCAGACAUUGUUAAUAGGGAUUUGUGAAGGAAUUUAGGUUCUGAAAGAGGACGGGCUAAAGAAGGAGAAAUGCAAAUGCAAAGUGUACCUGCCAGGGAAGGGCCACAACAGGAAGAACGGUGGAAUAAUCAAAUCUUUUCAUCAACCGCCGGUACAGUCUAGAGGUUUGAAGUUGGAGAUGAGGCACACAGGGCUGCAGUCCAGGGCUGAAUCGUUCUCCUCAUGGAGGCCCCGAGGACUGUCCUGUUUUGCCCUUUUCCAGCUCAGUAUCCCUCUGCUUUCCAUGUCUCUUGGAUAUUUUCCUCCAUCUUUGAAUACAAAGAUCUUUGUGUCCAAAAGAGAAGGAUCAAGACUGGUUAAGAACAAACAAUCAAACUUCAAGACUGAAUAAAGAAGCCAACCACACCAACAGCCAGCAUUGCAGAA